UGGUGUCCUAUUGUCAAACGUUCAGUUU
This 28-nucleotide non-coding RNA is filed under the name Mus musculus (house mouse). The record is from RNAcentral. Lineage: Eukaryota; Metazoa; Chordata; Mammalia; Rodentia; Muridae.